UACGUAGGGUGCAAGCGUUGUCCGGAAUUAUUGGGCGUAAAGAGCUCGUAGGCGGUUUGUCGCGUCGAAUGUGAAAACCCGGGGCUCAACCCCGGGCCUGCAUUCGAUACGGGCAGACUAGAGUGAUGUAGGGGAGACUGGAAUUCCUGGUGUAGCGGUGAAAUGCGCAGAUAUCAGGAGGAACACCGAUGGCGAAGGCAGGUCUCUGGGCAUUAACUGACGCUGAGGAGCGAAAGCAUGGGGAGCGAACAGG
RNAcentral lists this ribosomal RNA (253 nucleotides) under uncultured bacterium. RNAcentral describes it as "partial 16S ribosomal RNA". It matches the Rfam family "Bacterial small subunit ribosomal RNA", at positions 524 to 776 of the family's 1533-position model. The record is from RNAcentral.